RNAcentral lists this ribosomal RNA (655 nucleotides) under uncultured bacterium. RNAcentral's name for it is "bacterial SSU rRNA". It matches the Rfam family "Bacterial small subunit ribosomal RNA", at positions 817 to 1470 of the family's 1533-position model. The record is from RNAcentral.
UAGGUGUGGGUCUCAUUCCACGAGGUCCGUGCCGCAGCUAACGCAUUAAGUUCCCCGCCUGGGGAGUACGGCCGCAAGGCUAAAACUCAAAGGAAUUGACGGGGGCCCGCACAAGCGGCGGAGCAUGUGGAUUAAUUCGAUGCAACGCGAAGAACCUUACCAAGGCUUGACAUAUACCGGAAAUAUCCAGAGAUGGGUGCCCCGCAAGGUCGGUAUACAGGUGGUGCAUGGUUGUCGUCAGCUCGUGUCGUGAGAUGUUGGGUUAAGUCCCGCAACGAGCGCAACCCUCGUUCUAUGUUGCCAGCGCGUGAUGGCGGGGACUCAUAGGAGACUGCCGGGGUCAACUCGGAGGAAGGUGGGGAUGAGGUCAAAUCAUCAUGCCCCUUAUGUCUUGGGCUUCACACAUGCUACAAUGGCCGGUACAAAGGGCUGCGAAACCGCAAGGUGGAGCGAAUCCCAAAAAACCGGUCUCAGUUCGGAUUGGGGUCUGCAACUCGACCCCAUGAAGUUGGAGUCGCUAGUAAUCGCAGAUCAGCAACACUGCGGUGAAUACGUUCCCGGGCCUUGUACACACCGCCCGUCAAGUCACGAAAGUCGGUAACACCCGAAGCCGGUGGCCCAACCCUUGUGGAGGGAGCCGUCGAAGGUGGGGCUG